RNAcentral lists this ribosomal RNA (253 nucleotides) under uncultured bacterium. RNAcentral describes it as "partial 16S ribosomal RNA". It matches the Rfam family "Bacterial small subunit ribosomal RNA", at positions 524 to 776 of the family's 1533-position model. The record is from RNAcentral.
UACGUAGGGGCAAGCGGUUGUCCGGAAUCAUUGGGCGUAAAGCGCGCGUAGGCGGCCCGGUAAGUCCGUUGUGAAAGUCAAAGGCUCAACCUUUGAACGCCGAUGGAUACUGCCGGGCUAGAGUCCGGAAGAGGCGAGUGGAAUUCCUGGUGUAGCGGUGGAAUGCGCAGAUAUCAGGAGGAACACCAAUAGCGAAGGCAGCUCGCUGGGACGGUACUGACGCUGAGGCGCGAAAGCGUGGGGAGCGAACAGG